GGCAACUUGGCCGAGCGGUACAAGGCGCCACCUUAAGGUAUAUUCAACCCUUAACAAACUAUCUUGGGUUUCAAGAUAUUCCGUGGUCCGAAAGGGCGUGAGUUCGAAUCUCACAGUUGUCA
Podospora fimiseda is the source of this 122-nucleotide non-coding RNA. The record is from the annotation of a GenBank genome assembly. Lineage: Eukaryota; Fungi; Ascomycota; Sordariomycetes; Sordariales; Podosporaceae.